This 118-nucleotide ribosomal RNA is filed under the name Pacispora scintillans. Lineage: Eukaryota; Fungi; Glomeromycota; Glomeromycetes; Diversisporales; Pacisporaceae. The record is from RNAcentral.
CAGUCGCGCCUUCUGGGAUUCAGCCUUGCUUUUGCUUGGUGCUUUGAUGCUGGCGUAAUGGCUUUAAGCGACCCGUCUUGAAACACGGACCAAGGAGUCUAACAUAUAUGCGAGUGUU